RNAcentral lists this ribosomal RNA (284 nucleotides) under uncultured bacterium. RNAcentral's name for it is "partial 16S ribosomal RNA". It matches the Rfam family "Bacterial small subunit ribosomal RNA", at positions 28 to 334 of the family's 1533-position model. The record is from RNAcentral.
AAAACACUGAUGAACGCUAGCGACAGGCCUAACACAUGCAAGUCGAGCGCCCCGCAAGGGGAGCGGCAGACGGGUGAGUAACGCGUGGGAACGUACCUUUUGCUACGGAAUAACUCAGGGAAACUUGUGCUAAUACCGUAUGUGCCCUUCGGGGGAAAGAUUUAUCGGCAAAGGAUCGGCCCGCGUUGGAUUAGCUAGUUGGUGAGGUAAAGGCUCACCAAGGCGACGAUCCAUAGCUGGUCUGAGAGGAUGAUCAGCCACACUGGGACUGAGACACGGCCCAG